This 1153-nucleotide ribosomal RNA is filed under the name Crypthecodinium cohnii. Its description in RNAcentral is "partial Bacterial large subunit ribosomal RNA". It matches the Rfam family "Bacterial large subunit ribosomal RNA", at positions 272 to 1399 of the family's 2925-position model. Lineage: Eukaryota; Dinophyceae; Gonyaulacales; Crypthecodiniaceae. The record is from RNAcentral.
AUCCGGCAGGAGUUGCGUAUUCGGGGUUGUGGGACUUUUCAGGUUGCUCUGCCGAGCAGCCGGCGUUACAAGAAGGUAUAGACGAACUGGAUUGAAAGCCAGGUCAUAGAGGGUGCCAACCCCGUAGUCGAAAUGCCUCUCUUGACGCGAAGAGUAUCCCAAGUAGCACGGGGCCCGAGAAAUCCCGUGUGAAUCUGUCAGGACCACCUGAUAAGCCUAAAUACUCCCAGAUGACCGAUAGCGGACAAGUACCGUGAGGGAAUGGUGAAAAGCACCCCGGGAGGGGAGUGAAAUAGUACCUGAAACCGUUUGCUUACAAACCGUUGGAGCCUCCCUAGUAGGGGUGACAGCGUGCCUUUUGAAGAAUGAGCCUGCGAGUUAGUGGUGUGUGGCGAGGUUAACCCGGGUGGGGAAGCCGUAGCGAAAGCGAGUCCGAAUAGGGCGUUUGAGUCGCAUGCUCUAGACCCGAAGCGGAGUGAUCUACCCAUGGCCAGGUUGAAGCGCGGGUAAGACCGCGUGGAGGACCGAACCCACCAGGGUUAAAAACCUGGGGGAUGAGCUGUGGGUAGGGGUGAAAGGCCAAUCAAACUUCGUGAUAGCUGGUUCUCUCCGAAAUGCAUUUAGGUGCAGCGUCACGUGUUUCUUGCCGGAGGUAGAGCUACUGGAUGGCUAAUGGGCCCCACCGGGUUACUGACGUCAGCCAAACUCCGAAUGCCGGUAAGUGAGAGCGUGGCAGUGAGACUGCGGGGGAUAAGCUUCGUAGUCGAGAGGGAAACAGCCCAGAUCAUCAGCUAAGGCCCCUAAGCGUGUGCUAAGUGGGAAAGGAUGUGGAGUUGCGCAGACAACCAGGAGGUUGGCUUAGAAGCAGCCACCCUUGAAAGAGUGCGUAAUAGCUCACUGGUCAAGUGAUUCCGCGCCGACAAUGUAGCGGGGCUCAAGCGGUCCGCCGAAGCUGUGACAUCCACGCGUGAUGUGUGGGUGGGUAGGGGAGCGUCGUGUGUUCGGUGAAGCCCGGGGGUGACCCCUGGUGGAGGGCACGCGAGUGAGAAUGCAGGCAUGAGUAGCGAAUGACGGGUGGGAAACCCGUCCGCCGAUUAUCCAAGGGUUCCAGGGUCAAGUUUGUCUGCCCUGGGUGAGUCGGGUCCUAAGGCGA